Molecule: long non-coding RNA, 266 nt
Organism: Thalassophryne amazonica
Lineage: Eukaryota; Metazoa; Chordata; Actinopteri; Batrachoidiformes; Batrachoididae
Exons: 2
Source: RefSeq, a predicted model, not a curated record
UGUGUGUGUGUGUGUGUGUGUGUGUGUGUGUGUGUGUGUGUGUGUGUGUGUGUGUGCCAGCUAAGGCAGAGGAUGCAUGAGGAGCCUGAUUUUCGAGGGCGGGGGGGCAAACAAUAUAAUAAAUGGGGUAGCAAAAACUGGGCUGUAAUGUUUGAGUUAUGUUGAUAUUUGCGCAAAAUUAUAAUUUUUUUUUCUUUCUUCAAACAAAAAGGCUUCAUUUGAUCUGUGUUGUUUCUGUGUGAGGUAGCUUUUUAAUAGCAAAACAA